RNAcentral lists this transfer RNA (76 nucleotides) under Mucispirillum schaedleri ASF457. RNAcentral's name for it is "tRNA-Glu". It matches the Rfam family "tRNA". Rfam says of the family: Transfer RNA (tRNA) molecules are approximately 80 nucleotides in length. Their secondary structure includes four short double-helical elements and three loops (D, anti-codon, and T loops). Further hydrogen bonds mediate the characteristic L-shaped molecular structure. tRNAs have two regions of fundamental functional importance: the anti-codon, which is responsible for specific mRNA codon recognition, and the 3' end, to which the tRNAs corresponding amino acid is attached (by aminoacyl-tRNA synthetases). tRNAs cope with the degeneracy of the genetic code in two manners: having more than one tRNA (with a specific anti-codon) for a particular amino acid; and 'wobble' base-pairing, i.e. permitting non-standard base-pairing at the 3rd anti-codon position. The record is from RNAcentral. Lineage: Bacteria; Pseudomonadati; Deferribacterota; Deferribacteres; Deferribacterales; Mucispirillaceae.
GACCCGUUCGUCUAGCUCGGCCUAGGACAUCGGCCUUUCACGCCGACAACAGGGGUUCAAAUCCCCUACGGGUCGC